Cydia fagiglandana is the source of this 1504-nucleotide long non-coding RNA. RefSeq lists it as uncharacterized. The transcript is spliced from 2 exons. Lineage: Eukaryota; Metazoa; Arthropoda; Insecta; Lepidoptera; Tortricidae. The record is from RefSeq and is a predicted model, not a curated record.
GUUUUUAUGUACAAAUCAAGCAUAUACAUUCAAUAAAAACUUUUUACAAAAAAAAGAAAACCGACUUCAAAAAGGAUGAAAUAAAAUAUUAUCCUUUUUAAGUCUAUGCGUUACCAACUGAUAUGUUUGAAGUCGGUGCCAAGCCAACUUUUGAAGCAUACCAUGAUUUUGGUGCGAUUCUAUAAUGAUUUACGUUGGAUUGCCUUACACGACGACAAUGAACGUACUUUCUGUAGGUACAGUCGUCGUUAAAAAUAUGUUUACACUUUUCGUCUUAUAUUACAUAUUACAAAGGAGUACGGUGCAAAAGUGUAAACAUAUCUUUGACGUCGACUGUACCUAAGAACACACGAUCAAAUCUUCUUGGUACAGUCCGUACCAUGUUUGUCGGCACGCAAGCGUGGGAUUGGGACUGAGUUAUUUCCCGUCCCUUAUUCAGAGGACUACAUUUCAAAAUAUAAAACAAUUCAAGGAAUUUACUUUCUUGCCAAAUUUCACCUAAAGCGGUUCAGUUGUUUAGCCAUGAAAAGGCGACAAAGAGGCAGACAGAAUUACUUACACAUUUAUAAUUAGUUAUUAGUACAGUUCUAAUGGGAUUUAUAGUCAUAAAGCUGAUUAUUUUUGACGGGUAUUGUUACUACUUGGCUUGGCACCGACUUCAAACAUAUCAGUUGGUAACGCAUAGACUUAAAAAGGAUAAUAUUUUAUUUCAUCCUUUUUGAAGUCGGUUUUCUUUUUUUUGUAAAAAGUUUUUAUUUUUCCAUUUUUAGUUUUUAACGCAUUGUUAAAAAGUGCGCGACGCAUGAAUGAAAAACAACAUCAUGAUUAACACUAAAUUCGUGUACCUACUUUAAUAAAUAUGUACUUAAUCAGGAAUUUUUUCGAGUCCGUCUGGGAAAUUAUAAUUCCUGACACUACACUAAAUCCAUCCUCCGCCCCGCCGCUGACCCAAUCCCUCAACUCCCCGAUCACUCUACCUCACAGCGCAUCAACCCCUGAUCCAUGAACCCCUCGACCCUGAACCAGCAGCCCUUCAACCGCCAUUCCCUUAACUUCGCUUCGCCUUAACUCCUAACCCUAACCCCCGAUCAGUAGCCUUACCAGCUUACCAAGAGUUUGACAUUGAUUUAUUCGCUAGCGUGUGUGUAACUUACUUUCUUUGCAUCUCGCUCGUACUGGUAUAUUAGUGCGAGCGAGAUGCAUAAAUAGUAAGUUACGAAGACGUUAGCGUCGCUAACUUAGCGAAUAUGUCAAUGUCAAACUCGUGGUAAGGCUACACUUGGCUACACUUGCACUACAUCAAAUUGGCGGUUUUCGGAAGCAAAUGCUCGAGUUACUUUAGAAAACACCGAAAUCACUUUACACGUGCCUUUAAAAACUGAGGAGUUCCCUCAAUUCCUCGUGGAUUCCAUCAUCAGACCAGAACCAAAAAUAAUACGGAAACACCUUGGAGGUAGCUCCUUUCAAACAAAAAAGAAUUACUCAAAUCGGACUACGGAUGUCG